AUUGAACGCUGGCGGCAGGCCUAACACAUGCAAGUCGAGCGGAUGAAGGGAGCUUGCUCCUGGAUUCAGCGGCGGACGGGUGAGUAAUGCCUAGGAAUAUGCCUGGUAGUGGGGGAUAACGUCCGGAAACGGGCGCUAAUACCGCAUACGUCCUGAGGGAGAAAGUGGGGGAUCUUCGGACCUCACGCUAUCAGAUGAGCGUAGGUCGGAUUAGCUAGUUGGUGGGGUAAAGGCCUACCAAGGCGACGAUCCGUAACUGGUCUGAGAGGAUGAUCAGUCACACUGGAACUGAGACACGGUCCAGACUCCUACGGGAGGCAGCAGUGGGGAAUAUUGGACAAAGGGCGAAAGCCUGAUCCAGCCAUGCCGCGUGUGUGAAGAAGGUCUUCGGAUUGUAAAGCACUUUAAGUUGGGAGGAAGGGCAGUAAGUUAAUACCUUGCUGUUUUGACGUUACCAACAGAAUAAGCACCGGCUAACUUCGUG
RNAcentral lists this ribosomal RNA (484 nucleotides) under uncultured bacterium. RNAcentral's name for it is "partial 16S ribosomal RNA". It matches the Rfam family "Bacterial small subunit ribosomal RNA", at positions 30 to 507 of the family's 1533-position model. The record is from RNAcentral.